Molecule: ribosomal RNA, 188 nt
Filed under: Draba verna
Lineage: Eukaryota; Viridiplantae; Streptophyta; Magnoliopsida; Brassicales; Brassicaceae
Description: 5.8S ribosomal RNA
Rfam family: 5.8S ribosomal RNA (bases 3-158)
About the family: 5.8S ribosomal RNA (5.8S rRNA) is a component of the large subunit of the eukaryotic ribosome.
Source: RNAcentral
ACGACUCUCGGCAACGGAUAUCUCGGCUCUCGCAUCGAUGAAGAACGUAGCGAAAUGCGAUACUUGGUGUGAAUUGCAGAAUCCCGUGAACCAUCGAGUCUUUGAACGCAAGUUGCGCCCCAAGCCUUCUGGCCGAGGGCACGUCUGCCUGGGUGUCACAAAUCGUCGUCCCCAUUCUUUGCGGAUGA